AUUGAAUUGAAUUUUUUAUUUUAGUACUAUAAUGUAUGUAUUUACGCGAAUUCGAGAUGGAAAACACCUAUGCUGUUUCAGACUUCAGGAGUGAUGUAGUGGAAUCACUGCUGAGGAGUACCCACUAUCCUGGCAGAGGAGCCUCCUCGUAGAAAUCGGGCUCGUCAUCUUGCUCGAUGUCCUUUUGUGCUCCGUCCAACUGGAAAAUGUGAGGAAAGUCGAAGAAAUUUCUGUUAAAGUACUGAAAAAUCUUUACCGCUCGCAACUGCAACGGCGUAAACACAUAAACCAGAGACAUCCUCAAUGGAACCAUCAUCACCAAGAAGAAUGGCAGUGCGAGAGAGAAUCGAGA
Molecule: long non-coding RNA, 352 nt
Organism: Zerene cesonia (dogface butterfly)
Lineage: Eukaryota; Metazoa; Arthropoda; Insecta; Lepidoptera; Pieridae
Exons: 3
Source: RefSeq, a predicted model, not a curated record